Ictidomys tridecemlineatus (thirteen-lined ground squirrel) is the source of this 1041-nucleotide non-coding RNA. Lineage: Eukaryota; Metazoa; Chordata; Mammalia; Rodentia; Sciuridae. The record is from RefSeq and is a predicted model, not a curated record.
CUAACAAAAACCACUAUUAAAAAAAAAGGAGAGACACAUAAGACAGACUUUCAGAAGAGUGAGAAAAAAAAACUGAAUGGGAUGUACUCAAUUUGGCUCCUUGGGCCCUGAAACAUUAUGAUAUUCCCCAAUCUCCCUGAUUUUUCUUUAGGAUUCAUAUGGAGGAAAAAAUAUAGACCCUUAAACUUAAUUUAGAAGUUAAAUUCCACAAGGCAGAGAUAUUCUGGAUUAUUUUAUUAUCCAUGGAUCUCUAGUGCUAAGAUCUGUUCAAUAGGCAAAUCCACUAUUUGGGAAAAGCCACAUUUGUGCUUAUAGCAAAUGAUAUGACAUUAUUUUUCAAAUAUCCAAGUUUCAUGAAAACUAGAGGCUAAAAGUUAUAACCCAAAUUAAAUUUGGAUUUCAAUUAUCCACGUAUGUUUCUGUCCUUUCCCAGUUCCAGGGCUCCCCGGGAUUCUCCUUCUGCUGACCUGCUGCUGCCCACUCCUCACUAUGGGCUCCUUCUGACUGCCUCUUCGUCCACUCUGGUGGUGUCUCCGCCAUCUGUGUGUGAGAGAACUACCAGCAUCACUCAGCUCCAUACCACAACUGCCAACCAGUCACCAGUCUUAAGCACUACCCUAGACAACCUAAGGUUCCAUGUCAAAGAGCUUUUACAGCUCCAGGAAAUGAGGUCCUCUAGAGCAGCCACGGAGCAGAGAACGGGUACUUAUCAUCAUUACAUUCUACAUGUGCACAAGCAACCACACAGAACCACCUGAGAAUCAGUUUGCUGUAUGAUUGCAUUUGUCCGCCCUGAAUUACACGGUGCAUAUAUUCUAGGUAAAGACAUUUUAAAAAACUGUUUUCCCCUUAACACACACCAUCAUUUAUGAAACACUCUGACUGAUUCACUACUUAACUCUAGCUGUAAAUUUCUUACUAAUUGCCUUCCCAAAGCCUCUGUCUGCCCACCCCCUUCUUCCUUCCUUUAUACAUUUUCGAACUUAAAACCUAUGAUGAAAACCUUCAAAAAUAAUAAACUUUCUUUUUUUUGUUUUUGUA